This is a long non-coding RNA of Acanthopagrus latus (yellowfin seabream), 2174 nucleotides long. RefSeq lists it as uncharacterized. The record is from RefSeq and is a predicted model, not a curated record. The transcript has 3 exons. Lineage: Eukaryota; Metazoa; Chordata; Actinopteri; Spariformes; Sparidae.
UCUGGGAAUUUGAAGACUGACUCGAGUAGACCGUCUGCGUGUUUUUGGAAGUUGGGAGUUGACUGAACUUAAGCUAGAAAAAAAUGAAUCGAGGCAUCAAGAGACACAAGGGGCGAGCGGAGAAAAAGAGAGAUAUCUAAGAGAGCGCUGUUGGAUGGCGGUGAAAAAUGCUGCAAACUGACUGAGUUGUUUUCAAUAUCAAGUGCAGCUUGAGCUAGCACUAGCGCUAAUCCUGCUAGCAUUAAUGUUAGCGACACAGCUGAGCCAGCACACCGGGAGAGAGACAGGACAGUGACGAAUAUGAGCAAGAGGAGGAUGAAGAGGUAGACGUGACUGCAUGACGGUCUGUAAUGGGACAUGAAGUCUGGCCGCCGGCGUGACCAUCGGAUAAAUGAACCUCUAUCCGCCAGUGAAACUCUAUCCCCCUUACUAUCCUGGACUCUACAACGAGCGCUUUUGGCACAUUACCACCUGCAUCAGUACUGACCGCUGGAAGUCAGUGGUUACAUCGGACAUACAGUAGGAAGCAGUGGAAUCCGUAAAUACUUACAACUGGUGAGAACAAGAGGCCAAAAGGACACGACACAACUGAAACAUCACUUUUUAACCAUCCUAGUGAUUUCCACCAUUAUUCUGUCAGCCCGUCUGACCAGAUAUUUAUGAAUGAUUAUGAUUACAAAUGUCAAACAGUAAAAUUUGACUGUAACAGCAUGACAUUUGACACGUUUCAGUCCCAAUGUUAAGACUACUUUCAUAUGUCCAGUGAUGGACGAGACAUUCUAAUGUUCACUUUAAGUAAAUGUUGUGAUUUCCAGCUGUAUAAAGAUUUCAUUACAAGUAAAAGUAAGUGAGAGAACAAAAUUGUUUCCUUUUGGGAUAAAGGCUUAGUAACGUGUGUAACAUUCCUUGUGUAAAAAAUGUUAAAUAUUUUGUUGUGGUAUGUAAAUAUAUUUAUAUAACUUGUUUGCUGUUCCAAGGAGUCAUAUUUUCUCUACCCACUCUAGUUGCUGUAACAUCAGGGAAAACACAGGAAACACAAGAUUACACGUCAGAGAGUGACUCUUGUACAAUACAAGCUAUUGUUUGUUUUCCUCAUGAUGGAGCAGCCAAACAGGUACUCAGCUUAUCUAAUGAUAAGUUAACAAGUUAACUGUGGCGAUUUUAAUUAGAAUGAAAUGACAUCAUGUGAAUAAACAGAAAAUCAACAAGAAUUGAAUUCAUUACCUCCGUAAAUAUGAUUUUAUGCUCACUCAAAUAUGGAUUUUAACAAAAGUUUGUGGUUGUUGCUAUCCAGCUAAGAUGAUCAUAUGUGUUGCAUGUAAAAUGUUAUCCGGCAGAGUCACUUCUGAUGUAAAUGUUGUGAAGUAAAAAGGGCAAUAUUUUUCCAAAAUGUAGUAGAGCCAAGUUAUAAAGAGCAUUUAGAGUUAAAUUCAAAACUUAUGAUGGAUUAUACAUGUGUAAAUGUAACUUAAAAUGAAUUUAUUACACUGUUAUUAAAACUGAACAACUAAAUGUUAAUAAGUAAAUUUAACAUUUAAUUCAGUCAAAUCAUGUCAGAAUUCUGCAGUAAUCAAGGCUGAACGCAUAGAGUGUGAAUUAUUGACAAAAGCACAAUCAAAAAUGAAUAAACUGGCCAUCCAUUUACAAAAGUUAACUCUUUACAGCCUCAUUCCCUAUAAACAACUAUAGAGCGCAACAAAACAUGAUGGACACAUCAUCAAUAUAUCAACAUGCAAGGAGGGUUUAUAACCAAGUAUGAUAUCUUAUUGGAGCUAUAGCUUACAGCUUAUAUGUAGUGGUUUAUAUUGUUAUUAAUGUUGUAAAACUUACUUUAUGGGAACUUCUACCCCAGUUAUACAAUUACAUUAUUAUUAAUAACUUAAAUUGAACUACUCAGAAUGAUCAGAGCCAUGUUCCUGUUUACCUUUAAAGUUAAUAAAAAGUAAAGUAAACUAGUAAAUAUUAAAAGGUGGACCAACGUGUAUGCGUCCACAUUCAACCAUCCAUUCAUCCAUUGAUUUGUCCAAACAUGCAAAGGGAAGGACAGACAGACUAUUUCCACCUCAGGCUCAACACAUGGAGCAAGUUUGAACCAACAAACAAGAAGUCUGCUCUGUGAAAUACGAGUCCAAAAACAAAGCUCUCCCUUCAGUGAAACCCCCAACCCAGCACAA